Molecule: ribosomal RNA, 1569 nt
Filed under: Salmonella enterica subsp. enterica serovar Bispebjerg
Lineage: Bacteria; Pseudomonadati; Pseudomonadota; Gammaproteobacteria; Enterobacterales; Enterobacteriaceae
Description: partial 23S ribosomal RNA
Rfam family: Bacterial large subunit ribosomal RNA
Source: RNAcentral
AGACCCGAAACCCGGUGAUCUAGCCAUGGGCAGGUUGAAGGUUGGGUAACACUAACUGGAGGACCGAACCGACUAAUGUUGAAAAAUUAGCGGAUGACCUGUGGCUGGGGGUGAAAGGCCAAUCAAACCGGGAGAUAGCUGGUUCUCCCCGAAAGCUAUUUAGGUAGCGCCUCGUGAAUUCAUCUCCGGGGGUAGAGCACUGUUUCGGCUAGGGGGCCAUCCCGGCUUACCAACCCGAUGCAAACUGCGAAUACCGGAGAAUGUUAUCACGGGAGACACACGGCGGGUGCUAACGUCCGUCGUGAAGAGGGAAACAACCCAGACCGCCAGCUAAGGUCCCAAAGUCAUGGUUAAGUGGGAAACGAUGUGGGAAGGCCCAGACAGCCAGGAUGUUGGCUUAGAAGCAGCCAUCAUUUAAAGAAAGCGUAAUAGCUCACUGGUCGAGUCGGCCUGCGCGGAAGAUGUAACGGGGCUAAACCAUGCACCGAAGCUGCGGCAGCGAACGUAUCACUUAAAGCGAUUCAGCGGGUUACGAUUGACGGAGCGAAGCGACGUCAAAGCGUAUACAAAGUCGAGUCGGUUUAAGGAUACGUUCGUUGGGUAGGGGAGCGUUCUGUAAGCCUGUGAAGGUGUGUCGUGAGGCAUGCUGGAGGUAUCAGAAGUGCGAAUGCUGACAUAAGUAACGAUAAAGCGGGUGAAAAGCCCGCUCGCCGGAAGACCAAGGGUUCCUGUCCAACGUUAAUCGGGGCAGGGUGAGUCGACCCCUAAGGCGAGGCCGAAAGGCGUAGUCGAUGGGAAACGGGUUAAUAUUCCCGUACUUGGUGUUACUGCGAAGGGGGGACGGAGAAGGCUAUGUUGGCCGGGCGACGGUUGUCCCGGUUUAAGCGUGUAGGUGUGUGUUCCAGGUAAAUCCGGUUCACUUUAACACUGAGGCGUGACGACGAGGCACUACGGUGCUGAAGCAACAAAUGCCCUGCUUCCAGGAAAAGCCUCUAAGCAUCAGGUAACAUCAAAUCGUACCCCAAACCGACACAGGUGGUCAGGUAGAGAAUACCAAGGCGCUUGAGAGAACUCGGGUGAAGGAACUAGGCAAAAUGGUGCCGUAACUUCGGGAGAAGGCACGCUGACACGUAGGUGAAGUGAUUUACUCACGGAGCUGAAGUCAGUCGAAGAUACCAGCUGGCUGCAACUGUUUAUUAAAAACACAGCACUGUGCAAACACGAAAGUGGACGUAUACGGUGUGACGCCUGCCCGGUGCCGGAAGGUUAAUUGAUGGGGUCAGCGCAAGCGAAGCUCCUGAUCGAAGCCCCGGUAAACGGCGGCCGUAACUAUAACGGUCCUAAGGUAGCGAAAUUCCUUGUCGGGUAAGUUCCGACCUGCACGAAUGGCGUAAUGAUGGCCAGGCUGUCUCCACCCGAGACUCAGUGAAAUUGAACUCGCUGUGAAGAUGCAGUGUACCCGCGGCAAGACGGAAAGACCCCGUGAACCUUUACUAUAGCUUGACACUGAACAUUGAGCCUUGAUGUGUAGGAUAGGUGGGAGGCUUUGAAGCGUGGACGCCAGUCUGC